AGGUGUUUGUUCAGCAGAACUGCGCAGGAAGCGAUGCUUACUGGGCUUAUGCAAAGGGAGAGACUUGCUAGACCCGCAGGCGACGCUGAAGGAAGGCGCUUUGCGGAUUGAUUCAGCACUGCGAGAUCCAAGCUGAGUAUCAACAAACACCUUAACAACGUCGAAAGUAGCCUAUUUUAAGAGGAAAUAUGCAGAAGAAGAAGAUUUACAUCAAGAUUACCAGGGGUAUUUUCCAAAACACCUGAUAUUACCCGAAGAUCGAACUUGUAUUCUGAAACUAUCUCUGCAGAAGCUUCAGUUCCUUGAAGACCCCGAGGUCUACCUCCGCCGGUCUGUGUUGAUCAACAAUUUGUUGCGGAAGAUCCACCUGGAAACAGAGCGCGAACGCUAUGAGUACUUUAAAGGAUUCCCGUGCUGUAGGACUGCUUACUCUGAUACGAGAAAACGGCUGAAGGUCAUGGUGCAAGAAUGUCGCACGCAAUCCCUUUAUUACGAAGAGCUCCACUCGUAUCAUAUUGUGCCUUAUCCGACGGAGAAUGCCAUUUACGGAAUGGGCUACUCAAGUGGCCACUUGGAGCAAAAUCCACAGUUGCUUAUUUAUAAAAUGAAGUAGGGUAGCUUUCCCCCAUCCCCCCCAGAGCUGUGAAUUGUUUUUGUUUCUGAACGUCUGAGAGGGCUUCGUAGCAUAGGCCGAAAGGCUAGUUACGGAAGAAGGGGAGUUAUCAAAGCUGUGAGUCGCCUUCAGCUCUACCGGGGAAUGCAUUGGUAAUAGUAUUUGGUCCUCGGGGAGCCCGCUUCAAUGCAGAAGGAACUUGGUGUCCGCACAAAAUUGGUGCAAUAGGAAAGAUUUUCUCAUGAGUAGAGCGGCCUUGUGUGCAACGAUCCUUGGCUUUUUUCAGUUCUCUGUCUGUACAUAUUUGAACUAACUUGACCUUGUUCCC
This is a long non-coding RNA of Heteronotia binoei (common prickly gecko), 941 nucleotides long. RefSeq lists it as uncharacterized. The record is from RefSeq and is a predicted model, not a curated record. Lineage: Eukaryota; Metazoa; Chordata; Lepidosauria; Squamata; Gekkonidae. The transcript is spliced from 3 exons.